ACACUCCUGCGGGAGGCAGCAGUGGGGAAUUUUGGACAAUGGGCGAAAGCCUGAUCCAGCAAUGCCGCGUGUGUGAAGAAGGCCUUCGGGUUGUAAAGCACUUUUGUCCGGAAAGAAAUCCUUGGCUCUAAUACAGUCGGGGGAUGACGGUACCGGAAGAAUAAGCACCGGCUAACUACGUGCCAGCAGCCGCGGUAAUACGUAGGGUGCGAGCGUUAAUCGGAAUUACUGGGCGUAAAGCGUGCGCAGGCGGUUUGCUAAGACCGAUGUGAAAUCCCCGGGCUCAACCUGGGAACUGCAUGGGUGACUGGCAGGCUAGAGUAUGGCAGAGGGGGGUAGAAUUCCACGUGUAGCAGUGAAAUGCGUAGAGAUGUGGAGGAAUACCGAUGGCGAAGGCAGCCCCCUGGGCCAAUACUGACGCUCAUGCACGAAAGCGUGGGGAGCAAACAGGAUUAGAUACCCCUGUAGUCC
This 471-nucleotide ribosomal RNA is filed under the name uncultured organism. RNAcentral describes it as "partial 16S ribosomal RNA". It matches the Rfam family "Bacterial small subunit ribosomal RNA", at positions 333 to 796 of the family's 1533-position model. The record is from RNAcentral.